AUUGAACGCUGGCGGCAGGCCUAACACAUGCAAGUCGAGCGGCAGCACUUCGGGUGGCGAGCGGCGAACGGGUGAGUAAUACAUGGGAAUCUGCCCAGUAGUGGGGGAUAACUUCGGGAAACUGGAGGUAAUACCGCAUACGUCCUACGGGAGAAAGCAGGGGAUCGCAAGACCUUGCGCUAUUGGAGGAGCCCAUGUCCGAUUAGCUAGUUGGUGAGGUAAAGGCUCACCAAGGCAACGAUCGGUAACUGGUCUGAGAGGAUGGUCAGUCACACUGGAACUGAGACACGGUCCAGACUCCUACGGGAGGCAGCAGUGGGGAAUAUUGGACAAUGGGGGCAACCCUGAUCCAGCCAUGCCGCGUGUGUGAAGAAGGCCUUCGGGUUGUAAAGCACUUUAAGCAGGGAGGAAGGCUCGUACGUUAAUACCGUGCGGGAGUGACGUUACCUGCAGAAUAAGCACCGGCAAACUCCGUGCCAGCCGCCGCCGUAA
RNAcentral lists this ribosomal RNA (492 nucleotides) under uncultured bacterium. RNAcentral's name for it is "partial 16S ribosomal RNA". It matches the Rfam family "Bacterial small subunit ribosomal RNA", at positions 30 to 523 of the family's 1533-position model. The record is from RNAcentral.